This 1149-nucleotide long non-coding RNA is filed under the name Apteryx haastii (Great spotted kiwi). Its description in RNAcentral is "lncRNA (ENSAHAG00000006181.1)". The record is from RNAcentral. Lineage: Eukaryota; Metazoa; Chordata; Aves; Apterygiformes; Apterygidae.
AUGGGGAACAAACAGGAAGAACUAGAGAUCUGUGUGUGGUCGCAGGGCCAUGAUCUCAUUGCCAUUACAGAGACAUGGUGGGGUAGCUCACGUGACUGGAGUGCUGUCCUGGAUGGCUACGUGCUUUUUAGGAAAGACAGGCCAGGAAAGCAAGGUGGUGGAGUUGCUCUUUAUGUGCAAGAGCACCUGGAAUGUAUGGAGCUGUGCCUAGGGGUGGAUGAAGAGCGAGUCAAGAGCUUAUGGGUAAGGAUUCAAGGGCAGGCUAGCAUGGGUGACACUGUUGUGGGUGUUUACUACAGGCCACCUGAUCAGGAUGAGGAAGUCGAUGAGGCCUUCUACAGACAGCUGGAAGUAGCYUCACRAUCCCAGGCCCUGGUUCUCAUGGGGCACUUCAACCACCCUGAUAUCUGCUGGAAAGACAACACAGCUAGGCACAAAGAGUCCCGGAGGUUCCUGCAGAGCAUUGGUGACAACUUCUUGACACAGGUGGUGGAGGAGCCAACAAGGAGAGGUGUGCUGCUGGACCUCGUACUAACAAACAAAGAAGGACUGGUGGAAGAUGCGAAGGUCAGGGGCAGCCUUGGCUGCAGUGACCAUGAGAUGGUGCACUUGAGGAUCCUGCGAGGAGGAGGCAGCAGGGCAUCAAGUAGGAUCGCAACCCUGGACUUGAGGAGAACAAACUUUGGCCUCUUCAGGGACCUACUUGGAGGAAUCCCAUGGGUUAGGGCCCUAGAAGGAAGGGGCGUUCAAGAGAGCUGGUUAAUAUUCAAGCAUCACUUCCUCCAAGCUCAAGAGCAGUGCAUCCCUAUGAGUAGGAAGUCAAGCAAAGGAGGCAGGAGACCUGCAUGGAUGAGCAAGGAGCUCCUGGCAAAACUCAACCAGAAGAAGGAAGUCUACAGAAAGCGGAAAGGGGGACAGGCCACUUGGGAGGAAUAUAGGAACAUCAUCAGAGUAUGCAGGGAUGUGACGAGGAAGGCUAAGGUCCAUUUGGAAUUAAAUGUGGCAAGGGAUGUCAAGGACAACAAGAAGGGCUUCUUCAAAUACWUCAGUAGCAAGAGGAAGACUAGGGAAAAUGUGGGUCUGCUGCUGAAUGGGGUGGGUGCCCUGGUGACAAAGGAUGCAGAGAAGGCAGAGUUACUGAAUGCCUGA